Herpailurus yagouaroundi (jaguarundi) is the source of this 125-nucleotide long non-coding RNA. RefSeq lists it as uncharacterized. Lineage: Eukaryota; Metazoa; Chordata; Mammalia; Carnivora; Felidae. The transcript is spliced from 3 exons. The record is from RefSeq and is a predicted model, not a curated record.
AAAUAAUCCAGAUACCAAAAGACAAAAACUGUAUGAUUCCACUUACAUGAGAUACUCACAGUAGUCAAGAAUCAUAGAGACAGAACGUAGAAUGGAGGUUGCCAGGGGUUGAGGGGGAGAAAGAA